AAAUUGUGAUGUUGGUAUUUCCUUAACAAGUCUUGAAUCUCUCCCAUGCCUCAAACAAUGAUUUUGAAUCCAGCUAUGUAAAAGAGGUAAUCUCUUGAUGAAACUU
Dioscorea cayenensis subsp. rotundata (Guinea yam) is the source of this 106-nucleotide small nucleolar RNA. Lineage: Eukaryota; Viridiplantae; Streptophyta; Magnoliopsida; Dioscoreales; Dioscoreaceae. The record is from RefSeq and is a predicted model, not a curated record.